AGUACGUGAAAUUGUUGGAAGGGAAACGCUUGAAGUCAGACUUGCUUGCCGGAGCUUGCUUCGGUUUGCAGGCCAGCAUCAGUUUUCCGGGGUGGAUAAUGACGGUUUGAAGGUAGCAGUCUCGGCUGUGUUAUAGCUUUCCGUUGGAUACGCCCUGGGGGACUGAGGAACGCAGCGUGCUUUUUGCGAAAGACUCGUCUUUUUCACGCUUAGGAUGCUGGUGGAAUGGCUUUAAACGACCCGUCUUGAA
RNAcentral lists this ribosomal RNA (250 nucleotides) under fungal sp. RNAcentral describes it as "partial large subunit ribosomal RNA". Lineage: Eukaryota; Fungi. The record is from RNAcentral.